This 394-nucleotide ribosomal RNA is filed under the name uncultured bacterium. RNAcentral's name for it is "partial 16S ribosomal RNA". It matches the Rfam family "Bacterial small subunit ribosomal RNA", at positions 523 to 918 of the family's 1533-position model. The record is from RNAcentral.
AUACGUAGGGGGCGAGCGUUAUCCGGAAUUAUUGGGCGUAAAGAGUGCGUAGGUGGUUUUGUAAGCGCGGGGUGAAAGGCAAUGGCUCAACCAUUGUAAGCCCUGCGAACUGUGAGACUUGAGUGCAGGAGAGGAAAGUGGAAUUCCUAGUGUAGCGGUGAAAUGCGUAGAUAUUAGGAGGAACACCAGUGGCGAAGGCGAUUAUCGGUACUGUAACUGAACCUGAGGCAAGAACGCGUGGGGAGCAAACAGGAUUAGAUACGCUGGUAGUCCACGCCGUAAACGAUGAGCACUAGGUGUCGGGGUCGCAAGGCUUCGGUGCCGCAGUUAACGCAUUAAGUGCUCCGCCUGGGGAGUACGCACGCAAGUGUGAAACUCAAAGGAAUUGACGGGG